AGAGAAAAAAACCAUUAACCUAUGUUGUUUGUUGUGGUUGUCGAGCAAUGAGCACAUUGAGAGGUUAAGAUUGUGUGUCACUGCAUCUUCAUUUUUAUUGUGUACAGUUUAGUUUUAUUGAAAUGAGUAGCUGCAUUGUUAAUACAUUUAUACAAUAGUAAUUUUAGGGUUUUGAAGACUAGUACAUUGUUAGCAAUGCCUUUAGUUGUAUUGACAGGAGUUCCUUGUAGUGGAAAAACAAGGAGAAGUAAAGAUAUUGAAAAUUACUUUAAAGUUGAAAAAGGAAAGGAAGUUCAUAUUGUAUCUGACAGCAUUAUUGGAUCAACUAAUAUCACUAAAAGUGAUCUUUGUUUUAAUGCUCAAAAGGAAAAAGAAAUAAGGUCAAUUUUAAAAGUCUGAAACUCUUAGGUUACUUGGACGAGACAAUGUUGUCAUUUUAGAUGCUGCAAAUUAUAUAAAAAGGUG
Molecule: long non-coding RNA, 465 nt
Organism: Homalodisca vitripennis (glassy-winged sharpshooter)
Lineage: Eukaryota; Metazoa; Arthropoda; Insecta; Hemiptera; Cicadellidae
Exons: 3
Source: RefSeq, a predicted model, not a curated record